Molecule: non-coding RNA, 45 nt
Filed under: Echinostoma caproni
Lineage: Eukaryota; Metazoa; Platyhelminthes; Trematoda; Plagiorchiida; Echinostomatidae
Source: RNAcentral
GAUUAUCUGACGAGUCCCAAACAGGACGAAACAGCUGUCCAGAGC